GACGAACGCUGGCGGCGUGCCUAAUACAUGCAAGUCGAGCGAAGUUUUUCUGGUGCUUGCACUAGAAAAACUUAGCGGCGAACGGGUGAGUAACACGUAAAGAACCUGCCUCAUAGACUGGGACAACUAUUGGAAACGAUAGCUAAUACCGGAUAACAGUAUUUCUCGCAUGAGAGAUAUUUAAAAGUUGGUUAUGCUAACACUAUGAGAUGGCUUUGCGGUGCAUUAGCUAGUUGGUGGGGUAAAGGCCCACCAAGGCGACGAUGCAUAGCCGACCUGAGAGGGUGAUCGGCCACACUGGGACUGAGACACGGCCCAGACUCCUACGGGAGGCAGCAGUAGGGAAUCUUCCGCAAUGGGCGAAAGCCCUGACGGAGCAAACGCCGCGUGAGUGAAGAAGGAAUUCGGUUUCGUAAAGCUUCUGGUG
RNAcentral lists this ribosomal RNA (427 nucleotides) under Gemella morbillorum. Its description in RNAcentral is "bacterial SSU rRNA". It matches the Rfam family "Bacterial small subunit ribosomal RNA", at positions 28 to 439 of the family's 1533-position model. Lineage: Bacteria; Bacillati; Bacillota; Bacilli; Caryophanales; Gemellaceae. The record is from RNAcentral.